Small nuclear RNA from Aplysia californica (California sea hare), 170 nucleotides. RefSeq annotates it as U1 spliceosomal RNA. The record is from RefSeq and is a predicted model, not a curated record. Lineage: Eukaryota; Metazoa; Mollusca; Gastropoda; Aplysiida; Aplysiidae. The transcript has a single exon.
AUACUUACCUGGCACGGGAGGCACCAUGAUCACGACGGCGGUCCUCCCAGGGCGAGGCCUUUCCAUUGCACUCCGGUUUGGCUGACCCCUGUGGUCACCUCAAAUGCGGGUGACUCGAGUGCGUAAUUUUUUCGUAUUCGUAGUGGGAACUGCAUUCGCGCUAUCCCCUG